This 544-nucleotide ribosomal RNA is filed under the name Pontinus longispinis. Its description in RNAcentral is "partial 16S large subunit ribosomal RNA". It matches the Rfam family "Bacterial large subunit ribosomal RNA", at positions 187 to 1050 of the family's 2925-position model. The record is from RNAcentral. Lineage: Eukaryota; Metazoa; Chordata; Actinopteri; Perciformes; Scorpaenidae.
UGCCCAACAGCUAGCCCCCCAACACAACAACAACCAACCACUAUUUAUAACCCCAAAUAUACUAGCACAUGCAUUAAACAAACCAUUUUUCCCCUUUAGUAUGGGCGACAGAAAAAGGACCAAGGAGCCAUAGAAAAAGUACCGCAAGGGAACGCUGAAAGAGAAAUGAAACAACCCAGUAAAGCCAAAAAAAGCAGAGAUUUAACCUCGUACCUUUUGCAUCAUGAUUUAGCCAGACUAUUCCAAGCAAAGCGCACUUUAGUUUGAUACCCCGAAACUAGGGGAGCUACUCCAAGCCCGCCUAUCUAUUAGGGCAAACCCGUCUCUGUGGCAAAAGAGUGGGAUGAGCUUCGAGUAGAGGUGAUAAACCUACCGAACCUAGUUAUAGCUGGUUGCCCGGGAAUUGGAUAGAAGUUCAGCCUCCCAGAUUCUUUAAUCGCCUCAGUACCACUCCACCUGAAUAUGAGAAGCUAGGAGAGUUAGUCAAAGGGGGUACAGCCCCUUUGAAACAAGACACAACUUUUCAGGCAGGAAAAAGAUCAUA